GUGCCCAUUUUGGCAGCACAUAUACUAAAAUUGGAAUGAUACAGAGAAGACUAGAAUGGUUCCGGUGCAAAGAUGACACACAAAUUCAUGAAGUAUUCCAUGUUAAA
Small nuclear RNA from Dipodomys ordii (Ord's kangaroo rat), 107 nucleotides. NCBI's taxonomy places the organism in Eukaryota, Metazoa, Chordata, Mammalia, Rodentia, Heteromyidae. The record is from Ensembl.